UUAACUCAAAUUUGUAUGGAGUUGGAAAGUUUGACUACGUUUGCCAUUAGGGGCGCGAUUCCAAUUCCAUACAAAUUUGAGAUA
RNAcentral lists this microRNA precursor (84 nucleotides) under Bombyx mori (domestic silkworm). RNAcentral's name for it is "mir-2807 microRNA precursor family". It matches the Rfam family "mir-2807 microRNA precursor family". Lineage: Eukaryota; Metazoa; Arthropoda; Insecta; Lepidoptera; Bombycidae. The record is from Rfam by way of RNAcentral.